Long non-coding RNA from Sceloporus undulatus (fence lizard), 442 nucleotides. RefSeq lists it as uncharacterized. The transcript has 3 exons. NCBI's taxonomy places the organism in Eukaryota, Metazoa, Chordata, Lepidosauria, Squamata, Phrynosomatidae. The record is from RefSeq and is a predicted model, not a curated record.
CUAUCUAUCUAUUUUCUUCUCUCUUUUUUUCCUUAUAAAUCAGGGAUUCACACACAGCCUUUCACAUUUUCUUUUCUCCUUAUAAAUCAGGGAUUCACUCUUGUGGGGAGAGAAAAGAAGAGUUAAGAGCCAUUUUUACACACAUGCCCCCCUUUCUUCCUCCUCCUCCUUGGUAGGUUUUAAUUACAGGGAGAGUGAGAAGAAGAAGAAGUCUUUCAGAAGGACAAAAAAAAAAUGCAUCCCACGACUGCCACUGCAAAACAUGGCUGCCUGUUUUAUCUCCCCGGUUUGUACCCAGAAGUCGAGGGAUAAAGGAGUUAUAGCCAAAGAAGGCUUAGAGGAAAUAGGUGAAAAUCAAUUUCUUAAGUGUUGAGAGAAGAGAAGCGACACAAGGGGGCAGAAGUGAGAGAAAUCUGGGAUAUUUCAAGAAAGCGUUUGAAUG